GUGUCAGCAGCCGCGGUAAUACGGAGGGAGCUAGCGUUAUUCGGAAUUACUGGGCGUAAAGCGCACGUAGGCGGCUUUGUAAGUAAGAGGUGAAAGCCCAGAGCUCAACUCUGGAAUUGCCUUUUAGACUGCAUCGCUUGAAUCAUGGAGAGGUCAGUGGAAUUCCGAGUGUAGAGGUGAAAUUCGUAGAUAUUCGGAAGAACACCAGUGGCGAAGGCGGCUGACUGGACAUGUAUUGACGCUGAGGUGCGAAAGCGUGGGGAGCAAACAGGAUUAGAAACCCCCGUAGUCC
This 292-nucleotide ribosomal RNA is filed under the name uncultured prokaryote. RNAcentral describes it as "partial 16S ribosomal RNA". It matches the Rfam family "Bacterial small subunit ribosomal RNA", at positions 505 to 796 of the family's 1533-position model. The record is from RNAcentral.